Molecule: unclassified non-coding RNA, 349 nt
Filed under: uncultured fungus
Lineage: Eukaryota; Fungi
Description: sequence contains ITS1
Rfam family: 5.8S ribosomal RNA (bases 1-101)
Source: RNAcentral
AAAGUGCGACAAGUGUCAUGACUUGCAGAUACCCGAGAGCUGACAAAUUUCUGAAUGCAAAUUGCAGCCAAAUUAAUCUGGCUAUGUAUUGCAGAGAGUACUACGCUUAUGCGCUCCAUCCAGCGUUUUACUAUAAACACUGGGACAUGCGGUUGCGAGAAUCGUAUUAUAUAUAUAUCCACACACGAAUACGUCAAGUAUGAGUGCGUGUCCGCGACCGUGAAAGGAAGGAAAACCAUAACGUUUACCUUGGAACUAUAUAGAUUGAGAAACGGAAGAGGUCCCGGCCUCUCUCCUUAUCAAAUACUCUUCUUAACCUCUGCAAUGCAGGAGAACCCGCUGAACUUAA